This 948-nucleotide ribosomal RNA is filed under the name Mollisia sp. Its description in RNAcentral is "SSU rRNA". It matches the Rfam family "Eukaryotic small subunit ribosomal RNA", at positions 56 to 1016 of the family's 1831-position model. The record is from RNAcentral. Lineage: Eukaryota; Fungi; Ascomycota; Leotiomycetes; Helotiales; Mollisiaceae.
GGUCAGUAUAAGCACUAUACUGUGAAACUGCGAAUGGCUCAUUAAAUCAGUUAUCGUUUAUUUGAUAGUACCUUCUUACCUGGAUAACCGUGGUAAUUCUAGAGCUAAUACAUGCUAAAAACCCCGACUCGCGAAGGGGUGUAUUUAUUAGAUAAAAAACCAAUGCCCUUCGGGGCUCCUUGGUGAUUCAUGAUAACUAAACGAAUCGCAUGGCCUUGCGCCGGCGAUGGUUCAUUCAAAUUUCUGCCCUAUCAACUUUCGAUGGUACUGUAGUGGAGUACCAUGGUUUCGACGGGUAACGGGCGAUUAGGGUUGGACGCCGGAGAGGGAGCCUGAGAAACGGCUACCACAUCCAAGGAAGGCAGCAGGCGCGCAAAUUACCCAAUCCCGACACGGGGAGGUAGUGACAAUACAUACUGAUACAGGGCUCUUUUGGGUCUUGUAAUUGGAAUGAGCGAAAUUUAAAUACCUCAACGAGGAACAAUUGGAGGGCAAGUCUGGUGCCAGCAGCCGCGGUAAUUCCAGCUCCAAUAGCGUAUAUUAAAGUUGUUGCAGUUAAAAAGCUCGUAGUUGAACCUUGGGCCUGGCUGACCGGUCCGCCUCACCGCGUGCACUGGUUCGGCCGGGCCUUUCCUUCUGGGGAGCCGCAUGCCCUUCACUGGGUGUGCCGGGGAACCAGGACUUUUACUUUGAAAAAAUUAGAGUGUUCAAAGCAGGCCUAUGCUCGGAUACAUUAGCAUGGAAUAAUAGAAUAGGACGCGUGGUUCUAUUUUGUUGGUUUCUAGGACCGCCGUAAUGAUUAAUAGGGAUAGUCGGGGGCAUCAGUAUUCAAUUGUCAGAGGUGAAAUUCUUGGAUUUAUUGAAGACUAACUACUGCGAAAGCAUUUGCCAAGGAUGUUUUCAUUAAUCAGUGAACGAAAGUUAGGGGAUCGAAGACGAUCAAAUACC